RNAcentral lists this long non-coding RNA (2707 nucleotides) under Gossypium barbadense (sea-island cotton). Its description in RNAcentral is "long non-coding RNA (GBAR_LNC020229)". Lineage: Eukaryota; Viridiplantae; Streptophyta; Magnoliopsida; Malvales; Malvaceae. The record is from RNAcentral.
AAUUGUUUAUGAAAUUUUUUCUAGCACUAGAUUAUAUUAAGUUUGCUAUUUUAAAAGUCAAUUUUAUGCAUACAUUUGGUUUACAAUAACUCCAUGGAUGACUUGAUUAUUUCUUUCUAGUUAAUUGAUGAUGCAAAACUCUUGUGAAAAGGAUUUUGAAAGUAUUAUGAAUUUAUCUCACACAUUCUUAUGGCUAAAAAAAAAUGAGUUUGUAACGCCCCUAACCCGAAUCCGUCGCCAGAAUAGGGUUAUAGAGCAUUACCAAAGUUUACAUAUUAAUUAUUAGACAUUUCAUUUCAUCUAGCAUUCAUAUUUGAAAUCAAUCAAAAUCAUACAUAUUGUCCCUUAAACGAGCCCUCGAGGCCUAAAUUUACGCAUUAGAAACACAUAAGGACUAAGUCGAAAACUCAGAAAAAUUUUCAAAAAUAUUUAAAGUUUCCAACACUGUAGGGGUCACACAGCCGUGUUUCAGCUUGUGUCUGUACCCGUGUGAGUAUACUGACUUGGGCCACACGCCCGUGUGCUAGGCCGUGUGAGCAUUCUAUUUGUGAAAAUUUAAGACACAGAGGACAUACGGCCGUGUCACCUGGCUGUGUGUCACACACGGUUGAGACACAUGCCCGUGUGGAUGAAAAUAAGCCAUUUUACAAGCCAUAUUUCUCACCCAAUUUUGUGUCUAUCUACAAUCAACAUUACACAUAUCAACAAGGCAUAAUUAGACGUUCAAAACAAGCCAAAAUAAGUCGCUAAACUCAACACAUUACAUAUAAGGCAUCAUUAGACAAAAUACCUAUACAUGCCAUUAUAACCAAAAUCAAAAUAUUCGAAAAUACCGAUAAAACCGAUGGAUAGUGUGAUAUAUCUACCACAAGCUUCCAACCUAAUCGAGCUUCCGGUAAUCUGAAAAGUAGAAGAAAACAAAUACAUAAGCAAUGAAUGCUUAGUAAGCUCAUAUAAACUUUAAUCAUAAUACUUCCUUUUCAAAUAUGAAAUUUAUACUUAUCAAGAAUAAUCUAAUAUUGCUACCACAAUACUCAUGAAGUUAUAUUUAACAACUCACUAAGUGAAUAAAGCUACAGUAUCACUUAUACAUAAUAUUCCUAGCAUAGUAGGAUUUUAAACAACUUUAACUCUUCCAAAAUUUCUUUAUUUUCAUUUGCGUUUCUUUACUUUCCACACUCAUUGCAUAUGCAUAACACACAAGUCAUAAGCACAUCAUUCAACCAUAGAUACAGGCUAGUACAUUUAAACAUAGUCCUUUUUUGAAUUAAUCACACGAUAACUCAUUUUAUAAGAAAUUGCAUAACUUAAAAUUUACUACUCUUUCAUGAACACAAGUAUAUUUUCACUUGAGCACUUACCCUUUCAACGCAUCAUAUAAUAAACAUAUUACCAUUUAACCAGUAACUUGGCACUUGUCUAAGCGUCAACAACAGCACUUGUUAGCAUACUUGAACAUAUUUCAUAUUUCAUAACCAGAAGGGUUCCGGACCUUUCUGGGACCAUGUUCUUGAUUACUGGAAACAAUCAACGGCAAACCAAACAAGGCCUUGUUCCUCAAAUACGAAGAAAUGAAAGGAAACCCAGUGGGUCAAAUAAAAAAGAUGGCGGAGUUCAUGGGAUGUCCGUUCUCAGAGGAGGAAGAGAAAGCGGGUGCCAUUGAUGAAAUAGCCGAGUUCUACAGCUUGAGCAACCUCAAGAACCUGGAAGUGAACAAAAGCGGCAGCCUCAAAACCAUGAAACGACAAACCAACUCUUUCUUCAGAAAAGCUGAGGCGGGUGAUUACGUUAAUAUUCUGAGCCCAUCGGCGGUGGAACGUUACAGUAAGAUCGUGGAUGGAAAACUCAGCGGUUCCGGUUUAACCUUCAAAAUGUGUUGUUAAGAUAAAAAAGUUUUACAGUUUCGAUGGAAUUGCUUUUUCAUCCCCCCUAUCCCGUGUAGCUCCGUGCGCUACAGUAAUUCACUUAUUUGGCUCAUCGAUUAAGUGAUUCCCCGCAGAAUAAACGCAUCUUUAUUCACUCAACUCUUGUAAUAGGAAUUUGUAAUAGGAAUUCAGUGGUGAGAACUCUGAAUAGCUAUUCAAACUCCCACUGUACCAAAUAAAAAAAAAUUCCAGAAUUUCUUUUUUACAAAAAUUGAUAUUUCUAUCUCAAAUUAGUGAAUCACAAAUCAAAUUCAAAUUAACAAUUUUUACUUUUUUAUUUUAAAUUAGACCAAAAAACAAAAAAAAAAAAAUUCUUUGAGCUUCAAGGGAAUAUAGGAAGUAGAUGUUGAGCUUACAAAUCCAAAAUGAAUAAAUCAUAUAAAUUAUUUAAAUAAUAAUAAUAUGGAGUUAGAGAUGAACUGAUGAUGCGAUGACCGGUGCAUGUAGCCGUUCUCAAAAUUAGCUUUUUUGGGUUCUUGAAUGAAGAAUAAUAGAAAUUUUAGGAAGAUGGAGAGGGAACGGGAAUAGGAACAAGCUAGAGAGAAUACAAAUGUAGAAAAAAAUGGAGGAUCAGAAUGGCAAGUGAGAAUGUGCUUUUCUAGAACCUUUGAAUGAGUCUACUCCAUUAAUAAAAUUUGAUGAUUGAGAAAAAGAACCAGAGAGAUGAGAAAGCUGAAAGGGAAUUGGUAAGGAAGGAGAGCAUUGAAAAAAGAUAAUGGAGGAUUAAAUGAGGCUGGGUGGGUUGGGGGGAGGGGGGGAGAGCAUUGAAAAAAUGAUAAUGG